This 468-nucleotide ribosomal RNA is filed under the name uncultured bacterium. Its description in RNAcentral is "partial 16S ribosomal RNA". It matches the Rfam family "Bacterial small subunit ribosomal RNA", at positions 28 to 507 of the family's 1533-position model. The record is from RNAcentral.
GACGAACGCUGGCGGCGUGCUUAACACAUGCAAGUCGAACGGAAAGGCCCUGCUUUUGUGGGGUGCUCGAGUGGCGAACGGGUGAGUGACACGUGAGUAACCUGCCCUUGACUUUGGGAUAACUUCGGGAAACUGGGGCUAAUACCGGAUAGGAGCUCCUGCUGCAUGGUGGGGGUUGGAAAGUUUCGGCGGUUGGGGAUGGACUCGCGGCUUAUCAGCUUGUUGGUGGGGUAGUGGCUUACCAAGGCUUUGACGGGUAGCCGGCCUGAGAGGGUGACCGGCCACAUUGGGACUGAGAUACGGCCCAGACUCCUACGGGAGGCAGCAGUGGGGAAUAUUGCACAAUGGGCGGAAGCCUGAUGCAGCAACGCCGCGUGCGGGAUGACGGCCUUCGGGUUGUAAACCGCUUUCGCCUGUGACGAAGCGUGAGUGACGGUAAUGGGUAAAGAAGCACCGGCCAACUACGUG